This 253-nucleotide ribosomal RNA is filed under the name uncultured bacterium. RNAcentral's name for it is "partial 16S ribosomal RNA". It matches the Rfam family "Bacterial small subunit ribosomal RNA", at positions 524 to 776 of the family's 1533-position model. The record is from RNAcentral.
UACGUAGGGGGCGAGCGUUGUCCGAAGUUACUGGGCGUAAAGCGCGCGUAGGCGGUCAUUUAAGUUCGGGGUGAAAGGUUCAGCGCUCAACGCGAACAGUGCCUUGAAUACUGGGUGACUUGAGUUCGGGAGAGGGCAGUGGAAUUCCUGGUGUAGCGGUGAAAUGCGUAGAUAUCAGGAGGAACACCGAUGGCGAAGGCAGCUGCCUGGCCUAGAACUGACGUGAGGUGCGAAGACGUGGGGAGCGAACAGG